UUUUUUUUUUUUUGUAUUUUACUAUCCCAGCCAAAUCAGGGUAUCCACCUUAUUCUAGAUACUUUGAUCAUUCCCCUUUUCGCUCCUAGUGGAAGCCCCAAAGAAACAGUGAGGAACUUUUCCGCCUUACAUCCCAGGAUGUCAGCUAGUUCCUUGACAACAUGAAAAAACCAAAAGCCCCUCUCUAUCUAUCCAAGGGAUGGAAGGGCAGAGGAUCAUCUGCAUUAAUGCUGAAAAUACUGCUCUUUGCCAGAUUAACUUUCAACCAUAACUGCUUCAAAAAUUUCCAGAAUCUCUCUAAGAUAAAGUAUUUGUCCAUAUCUGCUUCAAACAAAAGAAGAGUGUCAUCAGCAUAUAGAAUGUGCGAUAAGGGAACCUAUCAACACAAUUUCUUUGAAAGCUCACGCCUUUUAUCCAACCCAAUUUUUCAGCUUGCUUCUCCAUCAUACUAAAAGCUUCCAUCACUAG
This 468-nucleotide long non-coding RNA is filed under the name Solanum tuberosum (potato). RNAcentral describes it as "long non-coding RNA (STUB_LNC011725)". The record is from RNAcentral. Lineage: Eukaryota; Viridiplantae; Streptophyta; Magnoliopsida; Solanales; Solanaceae.